GGGAGAAUGCAAUAUUUGGUAAUAACCCGAAUAAACGGACUCAUAAUCCGCGUGGCGUAGGUUCGAGUCCUACUGGGCCCACCA
This 84-nucleotide transfer RNA is filed under the name Actinomycetota bacterium. RNAcentral's name for it is "Actinobacteria bacterium tRNA-Ser". The record is from RNAcentral. Lineage: Bacteria; Bacillati; Actinomycetota.